UCCAAACAGCCCCAUUCUUGGAAUACCAUCUUAGCAGUACUUGAGAAUUCCUGGUCCUGCUUGAGUCCAACCACAUCUCACUAGUCAUCACCAUGAAGACUCUCUUGGGACUCUUCAUUUCCUUUGGCCUUGCCACUCUAGGCUCUUCUAUAGAGUGUGAAGUUUGCUCUGAGCUCGGCACCAGCUGCAGUGGUGGCACCAUGCCUUGUGAAGCUGGCAAAGAUACCUGCAUCAUCAUCGCGUCUCAUCAUU
Molecule: long non-coding RNA, 252 nt
Organism: Gekko japonicus
Lineage: Eukaryota; Metazoa; Chordata; Lepidosauria; Squamata; Gekkonidae
Exons: 3
Source: RefSeq, a predicted model, not a curated record